Molecule: long non-coding RNA, 233 nt
Organism: Sphaeramia orbicularis (orbiculate cardinalfish)
Lineage: Eukaryota; Metazoa; Chordata; Actinopteri; Kurtiformes; Apogonidae
Exons: 3
Source: RefSeq, a predicted model, not a curated record
GUCCUUCAGGAGCAGAUCCUGGUUCAGGUCUUACGGUGGUUUUAGUCCUUCACGAGCAGAUCCUGGUUCAGGUCUUACGGUGGUUUUAGUCCUUCAGGAGCAGAUCCUGGUUCAGGUCUGACCUCCUGUUCAGGUCUUACGGUGGUUUUAGUCCUUCAGGAGCAGAUCCUGGUUCAGGUCUGUCCUCCUUUUCAGGUCUUACGGUGGUUUUAGUCCUUCAGGAGCAGAUCCUG